CCGCUGCGUCCAUAUGCAUAUCCGUCUUUCCCACACGCAUAUAUAAAUUGUGCAGGUUGCGAAGGAUGCUUUCCUUCCUUCCCUCCCUGAUGAGCGAUACUUCGAUAUCGCUAGGAGAUUUAAACACAUCAUGUAUUACUCCGUACGUACGUGUGAAGAUGGAUAGCGACGAUGCAUUGGCUCGUGCAUCAAUUAGGCUCCAUCGAGUUUGAUCGUUAAGUAAGUUCAAUUUAUUGUUUCAUUUGCACGGCACAUGCUUGUUUGUUAGAUGUGUGAUACGUCUGAUCAUAUAUAUUUCAUAUGUUUCUUAAUUUUUUUACGACGUUGAUGAGUUAUGAAUUAUAACAAUAGAUCAUAUAGAAAGUAUGUAUGUGUGUGCACUUUUAUAUGAACCACGUGUAGUUAAUUAUAUAUAGCUUUGUUUUGGGGUGCGAAAAAUCGAGAUAUACUGCGGAUUUAGCAGCCAGCUAGGAGCUAGGGGAGAAAUUGUCGUGAUGAAGUAUUUGUUUUUCACCUGGGGUAUGUUUUAUUUGCUCUUAAUUUGUCAGGAAAUCUAAAUUACUUGUCAUUUACGCCGGUGUGAAGGGUUCUAAUUUGCAUGUUUGUCAAGCUGGUGGAAAUUUAAACUUAGUAGUAGUAUAAUUUAUGCCGCUAUAUACCAUGGAAGGUUCUUGUGAUGUACAUGCUUGUCAAGCUGUCAAUGAUACUGCCAUUUUUUUUUCCUGAUUUGCAUGUUGUAUUGUUUUGAUGUUCUUCUUUUCCUUGAUUUUCAGCGCGGCACGGCGCCUUGUAUAUAUGUAUGUGCUAAGUGUUAACACUCGAUCUGAUUUUUUUUUUUGCAGGAUAAAUGUCAUAUUAACCAGCUGUAUGCACUUCACAGUGCAGAGAAAGCGACAUGCAUGCAAGAUCUUCUCAUUGUCUCAAAGCAUAUUCGAUCGUACACUACUUCUUCACUUACUUUUUAAUAUAUAGUAACAAAUUAACUAACAAUCGACUAUCCUCUUUAUUUUUUUCAGACAUGUAUCCGCACGCAUUAUUAACGUGGGAUGUGGUUCAAAACCGGAUGCCGCCGCUACACAAGACGGUCGACCAUAUAUAUCAUCUUUAGGCCAAACAUAUAUUAUAUGUGUCCUAGCAAAAACACAUUUUUCUUUUUUGCAAAUUACAAGCUAGCAUGCAUAUGUAACAAAUUCGUUUUCUUAAUAGAUAAAAUUCAUUCGCAUUUGUUUUUCCCAUGUCAUCGUCAUUAAGAUUACAAAACAUUUUAGUGAAUAAAAAAAGGAACCGCUCCUGCCUGCAUGUAUCGUGUAUUCGUGUUGUUAAUUUGUAGUACUGUACUAUAUAAUGCUCU
RNAcentral lists this long non-coding RNA (1351 nucleotides) under Oryza sativa (Asian cultivated rice). Its description in RNAcentral is "long non-coding RNA (OSAT_LNC001487)". The record is from RNAcentral. Lineage: Eukaryota; Viridiplantae; Streptophyta; Magnoliopsida; Poales; Poaceae.